UACAGAGGGGGCAAGCGUUGUUCGGAAUUACUGGGCGUAAAGGGCGCGUAGGCGGCCUUCUAAGUCGAACGUGAAAUCCCUGGGCUCAACCCAGGAACUGCGUCCGAUACUGAAAGGCUUGAAUCCGGGAGAGGGAUGCGGAAUUCCAGGUGUAGCGGUGAAAUGCGUAGAUAUCAGGAGGAACACCGGUGGCGAAGGCGCCACUCUGGGCCGGUACUGACGCUGAGGAGCGAAAGCGUGGGGAGCGAACAGG
RNAcentral lists this ribosomal RNA (253 nucleotides) under uncultured bacterium. RNAcentral's name for it is "partial 16S ribosomal RNA". It matches the Rfam family "Bacterial small subunit ribosomal RNA", at positions 524 to 776 of the family's 1533-position model. The record is from RNAcentral.